GUGUGUGUAAUUUAAUUAAAAUAUCAAGCUGUGACCAUGACAA
This 43-nucleotide transfer RNA is filed under the name Natrix natrix (European grass snake). RNAcentral's name for it is "partial transfer RNA-His". Lineage: Eukaryota; Metazoa; Chordata; Lepidosauria; Squamata; Natricidae. The record is from RNAcentral.